Molecule: ribosomal RNA, 542 nt
Filed under: uncultured bacterium
Lineage: Bacteria
Description: bacterial SSU rRNA
Rfam family: Bacterial small subunit ribosomal RNA
Source: RNAcentral
UGGGGAAUAUUGGACAAUGGGCGCAAGCCUGAUCCAGCCAUGCCGCGUGAGUGAUGAAGGCCUUAGGGUUGUAAAGCUCUUUCACCGGUGAAGAUAAUGACGGUAGCAGGUAAAGAAACCCCGGCUAACUCCGUGCCAGCAGCCGCGGUAAUACGGAGGGGGUUAGCGUUGUUCGGAAUUACUGGGCGUAAAGCGCACGUAGGCGGACCAGAAAGUUGGGGGUGAAAUCCCGGGGGCUCAACCCCGGAACUGCCUCCAAAACUAUUGGUCUAGAGUUCGAGAGAGGUGAGUGGAAUUCCAAGUGUAGAGGUGAAAUUCGUAGAUAUUUGGAGGAACACCAGUGGCGAAGGCGGCUCACUGGCUCGAUACUGACGCUGAGGUGCGAAAGUGUGGGGAGCAAACAGGAUUAGAUACCCUGGGUAGUCCACACCGUAAAACGAUGAAUGCCAGUCGUCGGGUAGCAUGCUAUUCGGUGACACACCUAACGGAUUAAGCAUUCCGCCUGGGGAGUACGGUCGCAAGAUUAAAACUCAAAUGAAUUG